CGCGUAGGCGGUUUGAUAAGUGGGAUGUGAAAGCCCCGGGCUCAACCUGGGAACUGCAUUCCAAACUGUCAGGCUAGAGUAUGGUAGAGGGAGGUAGAAUUUCCUGUGUAGCGGUGAAAUGCGUAGAUAUAGGAAGGAAUACCGGUGGCGAAGGCGGCCUCCUGGACCAAUACUGACGCUGAGGUGCGAAAGCGUGGGGAGCAAACAGGAUUAAAUACCCUGGUAGUCC
Molecule: ribosomal RNA, 229 nt
Filed under: uncultured bacterium
Lineage: Bacteria
Description: partial 16S ribosomal RNA
Rfam family: Bacterial small subunit ribosomal RNA
Source: RNAcentral